This is a long non-coding RNA of Macaca fascicularis (crab-eating macaque), 1758 nucleotides long. NCBI's taxonomy places the organism in Eukaryota, Metazoa, Chordata, Mammalia, Primates, Cercopithecidae. The record is from Ensembl.
UUUAUUUUUGCAGCUAACAAAGUAUGUUUUUGAGGUUAACAACAAAGCACUGGAUAGUACAAGUGGAAGAUCAUUAAUAUGACUGGAUAGGAACCUCUUUUAAUUUCCCUUUCUUGGCUUUUUCCACACCCUAGGUGGAUUAUACUCAGCACUGCCACACCUAGAAAAUACACUCAGAUACCAGAAUUGCAAAAUUCAGGAAGAAUGCACUGCACGCUGUAUCCAGGCAAGCCAAGCUCACCCAAAAAUGGUCUCAAAAAGCAAAGGGCUCUGACCAUCGACUGAGGGGGUUGCAAGCCCAGCCCGUCUGCAGAAAUUUUUAAACCUGAAACCACACUACAGAAAUUAUUUUAUAUAUUAUACACUUAUUUUUAAAACUCAACUGUAAAAAUAAGUGUUGCAGGAAGAGUGAGGAAAAGAAGAGGGAAUAUAAAAGAGGAAGUUAGGACUGAAUCCAUUCGUUCCAACUUCCCUAAGCAAUCCACUUAUUGAUCAGUGUUUCCAACUCAAGGAAUAUUUAAAAUUUUUUAAUUAAAGAAAAAAUUCUAUCAAUCACAGAAUCUUGAAGGAAAGGGGAUCAUUUACAAUCAUUUUACAGGUGAGGAUAUUGAGACCAGCAGGAAGAUGACCUGCCCAAGCCUGCACAGAUAUCAAGGACCAAAGUUGGGGAUGAGACUCAAAUAUUCCCUUUCAGAUAUGCUUAGAAAAACAAGUCAGUGUUCACAUUUACUGUAUUAAUAGGAAUGUCUUUCAGGGGGAGUUUACAGAAAAAAAAUUAAACCGAAUUAAUUUAGGAUGACUAUAUUUUCCAUUGUUUUAAUUUCCUUAAAAAAGGAAAGGCUAUUGAACUUGAUUAUCAGUUCUGCAGUCUAUGGUUUUGAAGCUAAGUUAUUACACCCUACCUGUGUGAACACGGAAAGACCUUGACAUAUUACUUCUUUGUUAUAUUCAGCAGUAAGUGGCACUUGGCAUGUCUGGCUACUUACAGAGUGAAAUAAUUGCUUAGGAACCUAGAACUGCUUAUUUAAAGGGUGGGAACUCAAUAUUUAAUUACCGAACCAAAAAGCACCUCAGCUUUACCGUGGGAAAUCUCAUGCAAUGCACUGUUAGCCUUCAGGUGUUUCUCAGCCCAAUUCUUCAUUACUCUCCAGAAUCCUCUGGAACCUCCCUUCUGUUCAUGACAUAAAGGUAUCGGUCUUGGUGAAUCUGGACCAAUAAGGAAUGGCAGAUCUCUAUACUAGAACAAGGCUGAAGGAAGCAGAACAUUUCUGCAAAGUAUCAGACUUAGUUUAUCUUUGUCAUCAAUACUUGAGGUUGACCUGGUUCUAUUAUAUCAGGCUCGCUGGUCCCAGGAGGUUGCAUUUUUCCUAAAUGUGCACCGUUAAGGUGUUGUGUGAUUGAGGAGGGGAAGAAGGAGGUUGGAUGGGAAAUAAUGCAAAGACAAGUUCAUGGUUAAAGAAGCUUAUAAACGGAGUAAUUUUCAUGUAUAACAGGAGACCACAUUUCUUUAUCUCUAGAUAUCCAUUAUCUUCUUGAAGGAGCUGUGGUAUUAUUUUAAAUGAUGGGAUUUUUAACAUUUUUAAUGACCACUUCAACUUCUCCACCAGUCACGGCAUAGUUGGUGGAUUUUUCUUUUCAAUUUUGGUAUAACCACCCAGAUUACAUUUCUCUAACAUUCACCUUGCAUUUUGAAAAGCAUAGAAAAAUUCACUGCCAAGGACUAGCUGGCCAACAGUAGCCCUAGGGAGAAAUAUUUCC